CCUGUGUCAUGCCAUGGGCUGGCCAUACAUAACAUGGUCGAUUGAUGGUCGAUAUUUUGGAGAACACCAGAAUAUUUGAUCAAUAUUGCGCAAGGCAACGCAGAUUCUCCAAAGUAGGCUAUGUGGUCUGUGUGAACCCCUGGUGUGAACCACUAUACCAACACGGCCACUUCACCUCUAUCCUGCCUGCCACCAAGAAAGAGAAUGUGACGGACGUCGGACGUCGACCACCCACCCAGAGCAUAGACAGGCCCAUCACUCUGGGUGAGUAGUGCGUAGUCCUGUGCAGACCACCAUGUUGACAUGAGUCUCACACUUAAUCCAGCUGAGGAAACUCAACUCUAGCCGCCUCUCCCUGUGAGCCUUCCAAAAGGGCAGCCGCCUGUGCAGUCUCCCCAGGCACCUACUCCAGUCGGUCACAGGGCUGACCAGAAGGCCAGCAUAUGCACACACACACACACACACACACACACACACACACACAGUGAUACAGUAAUGGAGACACACACACGCACACACACACUAAGACACACACACACAAACAGUCAUAAUACAGACUCACACACGCACACACUCAAAGCUGAAUGCACAGACCUUUCAUACAGAGAAACACAGAGACAGACACUCACACAGUCACACAAACACAUGGACACACAUGCUUACCCAGAAAUGUACUGAAACAGCUGUCUCUGGUGAAACAGAACAGUUUUAAAAAUAAAUACAUUUGCUGUUGUAACCCUCUUGAAAUCAAAAUAUACAUUACAAAUGAAAAUCAAUCAAAAUAUCAGUUAAUAUCGACAAACAAAGAGACCCACGGCAGAGGAGAGUACAAGGUGUGUGUGUGUGUGUGUGUAUGUGAGAGAAAGAGAGAGAGAGAGAGAAAGACAGAGAGAGAGAGGGAAGAAGAGGACAGAAGUGCACAGGAGCAUGAGAUGAGAGUUGUGUGUAUUUGUUAUAGAUGAAAUGACUGUGUGUGUGUAUAUACUUUACAUGUGUGUGAGUGUAUGCUUGAAAACUAAGAGGUAGUGUAUGUGUGUGUGUAUGUGCCUAUUUGUAAGUAAGAACGAAAGAGGCAAUGACAGAAAAACUUCAAUGAUGGAAGACUAUCUUAGAAGGAGACCUCGUAAUAAAUGUAACAUUAAAAUGUGUGCAUUAGGAAAAGAGAGAGAGAUGUGUGCGCCUAUACUUUGCCAAAGAGGGAGUGUGUGUGAGGACAGCAGAACUUGUCUACAAGUAAUCCUAACGACGCUGUUUGGGAUCAAUGGUGUUUGGAAAAAUGGGAAAGAAAAAUAAACGUGCAUUCGUAUAGCUUACACUCUGAGUGGACAGA
Molecule: long non-coding RNA, 1330 nt
Organism: Alosa alosa (allis shad)
Lineage: Eukaryota; Metazoa; Chordata; Actinopteri; Clupeiformes; Clupeidae
Exons: 4
Source: RefSeq, a predicted model, not a curated record